AGAGUUUGAUCAUGGCUCAGAACGAACGCUGGCGGCAGGCCUAACACAUGCAAGUCGAACGCUCCGCAAGGGGAGUGGCAGACGGGUGAGUAACACGUGGGAAUCUUCCUGUUGGUUCGGAAUAGCUCAGGGAAACUUGGGGUAAUACCGGAUAAGCCCGAGAGGGGAAAGAUUUAUCGCCGACAGAUGAGCCCGCGUCUGAUUAGCUAGUUGGUGAGGUAACGGCUCACCAAGGCGACGAUCAGUAGCUGGUCUGAGAGGAUGACCAGCCACACUGGGACUGAGACACGGCCCAGACUCCUACGGGAGGCAGCAGUGGGGAAUAUUGGACAAUGGGCGCAAGCCUGAUCCAGCAAUACCGCGUGUGUGAAGAAGGCCUGAGGGUUGUAAAGCACUUUCAAUGGGGAGGAAAAAAAUAAGGUUAAUACCCUUAUAAUUGACAUUACCCAUAGAAGAAGCACCGGCUAACUCCGUGCCAGCAGCCGCGGUAAUACGGAGGGUGCGAGCGUUAAUCGGAAUUACUGGGCGUAAAGCGUGCGUAGGCGGCGCGUUAAGCCAGAUGUGAAAGCCCCGGGCUCAACCUGGGAAUGGCAUUUGGGACUGGCGUGCUGGAGUUAGGUAGAGGGGAGCGGAAUUCCGGGUGUAGCGGUGAAAUGCGUAGAUAUCCGGAGGAACACCAGUGGCGAAGGCGGCUCCCUGGACCCAAACUGACGCUGAGGCACGAAAGCGUGGGUAGCAAACAGGAUUAGAUACUCUGGUAGUCCACGCCGUAAACGAUGCCGACUAGCCGUUGGGCCCUUUCGGGGGCUUCGUGGCGCAGCUAACGCGAUAAGUCGGCCGCCUGGGGAGUACGGCCGCAAGGUUAAAACUCAAAUGAAUUGACGGGGGCCCGCACAAGCGGUGGAGCAUGUGGUUUAAUUCGAUGCAACGCGAAGAACCUUACCUACCCUUGACAUCCUCGGAACUUGUCAGAGAUGACUUGGUGCCUUCGGGAACCGAGAGACAGGUGCUGCAUGGCUGUCGUCAGCUCGUGUUGUGAAAUGUUGGGUUAAGUCCCGUAACGAGCGCAACCCUCGCCCUUAGUUGCCAUCGGGUCAAGCCGGGAACUCUAGGGGGACUGCCGGUGAUAAACCGGAGGAAGGCGGGGACGACGUCAAGUCAUCAUGGCCCUUAUGGGUAGGGCUACACACGUGCUACAAUGGCCGGUACAGAGGGCUGCGUACUUGCAAAAGUAAGCCAAUCCCAGAAAGCCGGUCCUAGUCCGGAUUGGGGUCUGCAACUCGACCCCAUGAAGUCGGAAUCGCUAGUAAUCGCGAAUCAGAAUGUCGCGGUGAAUACGUUCCCGGGCCUUGUACACACCGCCCGUCACACCAUGGGAGUGGGUUGCAAAAGAAGUAGGUAGUCUAACCUUCGGGAGGGCGCUUACCACUUUGUGAUUCAUGACUGGGGUGAAGUCGUAUCAAGGUAACCGUA
This 1473-nucleotide ribosomal RNA is filed under the name uncultured bacterium. RNAcentral describes it as "bacterial SSU rRNA". It matches the Rfam family "Bacterial small subunit ribosomal RNA". The record is from RNAcentral.